CGGUAGGUGAUGUAAUGAGGCGGACAAAUGGAUGGAAAUUAAUUGAACGCCUUCAACAAUUGAAAAAAGAAAAACCUGAUAGACUAUAUGAAUUAUAAAUCAAAUAAUUAUAAAGUAAAUUUUCGAACAUUGCUUCGAUUAAUAAGGCAAAAAUAAUUACUUUGAUUUCAACGCUCUAGCUAGGCUUGUUCAGUAAUUUUCUGUAAUCGCCAUUAUGAAAGAAAUAUCAACAUAGAAUAUAGUGUGAUUUACUCCUUGUUUACAUUCUUUAGUUUCUAUUCUAAUUUUUCUAUUCGGAUAUGUAAACAAAAUCAUAAUUUUAAAAUAUAACACGGUCUAAUUUACGGCAUCUUGAAAGUAUAAUAGCAUAUAUAAUUGUCAAACACCAUUCUAAUAAAAUAUGAUAUGUAACGCCACUUUUAAUGGAUAACGUCUGUCGUCAGCUUCACGAUUGACGGCUAGAGCUAUUGUCAAUAACGUUACAAAAUCCCAUAUCACGAUUUCAAUACUUUUUCUUGCAUUUUACUAGUACUACAUUAGAAUUGGAUUGAUAGUACUGUGUUGUAGAUUUACCACUGUCAUUUUGCAAAUUCAACGGUGGAAACUAUUGCUCUGCCCUACUAGUAGAGCUCCAUUUUCGACUGCUAAAUAACCUAUUGACAGUGAUACCUCUUCAGAUACAGUACUGUUAUCCUUUUACCGUUUCGUAUAUUUCAUUCGUG
Molecule: long non-coding RNA, 722 nt
Filed under: Mytilus galloprovincialis (Mediterranean mussel)
Lineage: Eukaryota; Metazoa; Mollusca; Bivalvia; Mytilida; Mytilidae
Source: RNAcentral